CAACUUUUAGGGGUGUGAGGGUAUACCUCAGGGGUAGUGCCCAUGCUUAGCAUGCAUAAGGUCCUUGGUUCAAUUCCCCAGUACUGCCGAUACAUAAAUAAACC
Molecule: non-coding RNA, 104 nt
Organism: Vicugna pacos (alpaca)
Lineage: Eukaryota; Metazoa; Chordata; Mammalia; Artiodactyla; Camelidae
Source: RefSeq, a predicted model, not a curated record